Non-coding RNA from Alternaria triticimaculans, 147 nucleotides. The record is from the annotation of a RefSeq genome assembly. Lineage: Eukaryota; Fungi; Ascomycota; Dothideomycetes; Pleosporales; Pleosporaceae.
GUCGCGGUGCCAGAGUGGUUAAUGGGUUAGACUUGAAUUCUUCAUUCAGUCAUCUAAUGGCUUCGGCCUCGCAAGGUACAUAUACCCAAACCACACAUCAGAGCGCCAUCUAACAGAGAACGAAAAGUUCGAAUCUUGUCCGCGACG